GAUGAACGCUAGCGACAGGCCUAACACAUGCAAGUCGAGGGGCAGCACAUAAGGUAGCAAUACUUUGGUGGCGACCGGCGCACGGGUGAGUAACACGUAUGCAAUCUACCUGUAAGCGGGGAAUAACCCGGAGAAAUUCGGACUAAUACCGCAUAAUACCACGAAUUCGCAUGAAUUUGUGUGUUAAACAUUUAUGGCUUACAGAUGAGCAUGCGUAUGAUUAGAUAGUUGGUAGGGUAACGGCCUACCAAGUCUGCGAUCAUUAGGGGUUCUGAGAGGAAGGUCCCCCACACUGGUACUGAGACACGGACCAGACUCCUACGGGAGGCAGCAGUGAGGAAUAUUGGUCAAUGGGCGAGAGCCUGAACCAGCCAAGUCGCGUGAAGGAAGAAGGUUCUAUGGAUUGUAAACUUCUUUUGUAAGGGAAUAAAGUACGGCACGUGUGCUGUUUUGUAUGUACCUUACGAAUAAGGAUCGGCUAACUCCGUG
RNAcentral lists this ribosomal RNA (489 nucleotides) under uncultured bacterium. RNAcentral describes it as "bacterial SSU rRNA". It matches the Rfam family "Bacterial small subunit ribosomal RNA", at positions 28 to 507 of the family's 1533-position model. The record is from RNAcentral.